Molecule: transfer RNA, 66 nt
Filed under: Tenebrio molitor (yellow mealworm)
Lineage: Eukaryota; Metazoa; Arthropoda; Insecta; Coleoptera; Tenebrionidae
Rfam family: tRNA
About the family: Transfer RNA (tRNA) molecules are approximately 80 nucleotides in length. Their secondary structure includes four short double-helical elements and three loops (D, anti-codon, and T loops). Further hydrogen bonds mediate the characteristic L-shaped molecular structure. tRNAs have two regions of fundamental functional importance: the anti-codon, which is responsible for specific mRNA codon recognition, and the 3' end, to which the tRNAs corresponding amino acid is attached (by aminoacyl-tRNA synthetases). tRNAs cope with the degeneracy of the genetic code in two manners: having more than one tRNA (with a specific anti-codon) for a particular amino acid; and 'wobble' base-pairing, i.e. permitting non-standard base-pairing at the 3rd anti-codon position.
Source: Rfam by way of RNAcentral
GGUAUUAUGGCUGAGGCUUAGGCAAUAAAUUGUAAAUUUAUUAACGAAUUAAUUAUUCUUUUACCA